Long non-coding RNA from Salvia splendens (bonfire salvia), 6363 nucleotides. RefSeq lists it as uncharacterized. The transcript has 7 exons. Lineage: Eukaryota; Viridiplantae; Streptophyta; Magnoliopsida; Lamiales; Lamiaceae. The record is from RefSeq and is a predicted model, not a curated record.
GUCAAUUUUCGGCAAUUUCUUUUGUCCGUGUAAAAUCAUAAAUCGAAGCUAAGGGGUAAUAAUUUUAUAAAUUACAAAUUAUGGCCUAGAAUAAUUGUUGAUAAUGUGAGGAAUUGUUUUGGGCCAUUUGAAGGUAAUUAAAAAAAUUUCUAUCGCCGAUAAUUUCAGUUUUUAACGAAAACGAUCGGCGAAACUUUUGAAGAUAUAGACAGGAAUAAUUUUGCCUUAAACUAGAAUUUAAAUGCUAAAUGAUGAUAUAAAGAGUUCCUAAAUGUGAUAUCAUAUGAUAGGGCAAUAAAAUGUUACAAGAUAAUUAAUUUAUUUAAAAACUAACUAAAUAAUUAAAUAAUGAUUAGAAUUCUCUAGAGAAUUCUUUUGUCUAUCAUCAACUCCAAACCCCCCCUCAUUUCAGCCACAAGCACGUCCUCCCCCUCUCCAUGGAAGACCAAAAGCUUAAGCUUUUUAAUUUCCGAAUAUUUGUCAUUUAAUCGGUAAAUCGAUCGGGUAAUCUUGUAUCCGCCAGCAAAUCGAGCGAAGGAGCAUAUAGUGCGUUUUGAUCACAAAGGAGUGGAUUUAGAGGGUAGAGAAGUAUCAAGGUGAAAUAGGCUUAUGUUCAUAAGCCUGCGAGGUUAGAGUCGACAUUAUGUCAGUGGUGUUGCGCAGCUUUGCAUCUUUGGCGAGUCACUGGUGGUCAACUUGGUUUAGUAGUCGUGGCAUGUUAUGUAAUAGUUUAAUCUUUAACCUUCCGUUGGAUAAAUGUUAAGUUUUUAAAUGUAAUAGAUUUUAAUUAUGCUUUUAAGCUAAAAAGAAAAAGGAAAAAUUUCAGCACGGGUUUUCGAUACUGAAACGUGACAUCACUUAUUCGGUUGGUUACCUACCGGGUAAGGGGUGUUACAAGUUUUGGUAUCAGAGCCUAGGUUUAGGCGGUUCUGGAAAGAAGUGAUUCAGUAAAGUGGUUUACUGGUUUAAUUGUCUGUUAGUACCAGUGACUCGAUGCAGCUGCUUAUGUCUAAAGUGGAAAGAAGUUAACAAGGUACGGGACAUAGUUUCCCGUGUGACCGAGAAAGAUGUUAUAUGGGACUGGCCACCCCAUAUAGCUCUAAUCUCGGUAGCGUCGGUAUGUGUAAAAGAUUUUAAAAAAAAAAUUCAGGGAGGAUGGGUCUGAAAAUGUUGAUGAAAAGUAUGUCCUAAUGAAAGAUACUAAUAAAUAUAUGCAGAUUAUGAAAGAGUAUAAGUAAAAGAGAAGAAAAUGAGUUAAAGGAAUGAUAUGGAAAGAAAGUAAGUUAUAGACUAAGUGACCAUCAUGAUAUAAAAGUGUAACACGAAAAUUCACAAAGGUAUGUGGAUUGUCUGAUAUAAGAUGGAUUAAGAGUCAUAAAGUAAUAUCCUAUAAUGAUAAACAAAAGUAUAGAAAUAUGUGAAAGGAAAUGUGUUUGGCAAAAUGAUAAAUAUUGAUAUGAAAACAUAUGAAACUAUAAGGCAUUAUAUGAAUAAAACCAUAAAUGUGCGAAUGAGAAAAUGCGACGAAUAAGAAAUAAAUGAUAUGAUCUGAACAUGUGUGCCCCUAUAUGGAUUACAUGUGUACUUCGAAUCGGGCAAUAUGAGAUAUGACGUGAUGUGAUGGAAAUAUGAACUGAAUAAUCGUGCAAGACAAUAAAUUAUAUGAUUGGAAAUGUGAACUCCGUGAGAAUUAUGUGUGCGCUCGAAUACGAGCUAUAUAAAUGUUAGAACCGAAUGAUGAUUCAGAAAUGAAAUGGAAAAUGGGAAUGUAUGCUCUAAGCGAGCUGUAUAGUAUAUGAUAAGAUAUGUCUAAAAAUAUGAGUUUGAAAUUGAGCUAUAUGAUAUAAAAUGGUAUUCUGGUUGAAAGUGUUGUCUGUGAUCUGUAAAUGUGUUAGUUAUGGAUAAGAAUGAGUUUUGAAAAUAAAUAUGGUUGUUGAUGAAUACUGACUUGAUAUUUGAAUUAUGUUGUGAUUUGGUGGUUUGAUUUGAUAAUCUGUGAUUAACAUUGUAUCUUGUUGGUUUUGGGGAAGCACUGGUUAUAGAGAAAACGCUGCCCAAUUUUUGCUAGAAAUUGAUCAGAUAAAUUAAUACGAAGUUGUGGUAAAUAAACUGAUAAGUGAUAAUACAUGAAGAGAAUGAUGUUACAUGAUGACUUAAGAAAUGAAAAAGGGAAAAGAUAAGAAGUGUUGUGAAUGAUAAUAAAGGAAAACGUAAUGAAAUGAUGAUAUGUGGAAAGUGAAAUGCACCCUUCGUCGGCUAUAAGUGCCCGAAUAGGGACUAUGCAAUUGGGACUAUACAAUAUAUGAUGAGUAUGUGAAUUAUACAUAUGCGUGAUGAAUAUGAUAUGUGCGCCUCAUGUGGACAAAGAAAAGAUGCAAAUAACAUGGAAAUUACUAUGUAAAGAAAUGAUAAUGUGACAAAUGUGCUUGAAAUAUAUUAGAGAUAAUGAUAAUAUUAUUAUGUGAUCGCAAAAUGUGGCUAUGUGUUAAGAUGUGAUUAUGUGAUUUUGUAUGUCAUUCUGUGUUUGGUUAUGGAAGUGUGGAUACGCUAUGUAGAUGAGGAUAUAGGAUGUCGUGGAAUGGCAUACGUAUAUGCGACGCUUAUAGGAAUGAUGUAAACCCGAGGGAAUUUCGAGGACGAAAUUCCUUUUAGGGGGGAUGAGUUGUAACAUCCCGAAUUAUAGGCACCAAUAAAAGGUUUGGAUAUAUGGUGAGGAAUAGUAGUUAAGUUAAACCGUAAGGUAUAAAUUUGAUACGAAAUGCCGAUUAGUCAAUUUUCGGCAAUUUCUUUUGUCCGUGUAAAAUCAUAAAUCGAAGCUAAGGGGUAAUAAUUUUAUAAAUUACAAAUUAUGGCCUAGAAUAAUUGUUGAUAAUGUGAGGAAUUGUUUUGGGCCAUUUGAAGGUAAUUAAAAAAUUUCUAUCGCCGAUAAUUUCAGUUUUUAACGAAAACGAUCGGCGAAACUUUUGAAGAUAUAGACAGGAAUAAUUUUGCCUUAAACUAGAAUUUAAAUGCUAAAUGAUGAUAUAAAGAGUUCCUAAAUGUGAUAUCAUAUGAUAGGGCAAUAAAAUGUUACAAGAUAAUUAAUUUAUUUAAAAACUAACUAAAUAAUUAAAUAAUGAUUAGAAUUCUCUAGAGAAUUCUUUUGUCUAUCAUCAACUCCAAACCCCCCCUCAUUUCAGCCACAAGCACGUCCUCCCCCUCUCCAUGGAAGACCAAAAGCUUAAGCUUUUUAAUUUCCGAAUAUUUGUCAUUUAAUCGGUAAAUCGAUCGGGUAAUCUUGUAUCCGCCAGCAAAUCGAGCGAAGGAGCAUAUAGUGCGUUUUGAUCACAAAGGAGUGGAUUUAGAGGGUAGAGAAGUAUCAAGGUGAAAUAGGCUUAUGUUCAUAAGCCUGCGAGGUUAGAGUCGACAUUAUGUCAGUGGUGUUGCGCAGCUUUGCAUCUUUGGCGAGUCACUGGUGGUCAACUUGGUUUAGUAGUCGUGGCAUGUUAUGUAAUAGUUUAAUCUUUAACCUUCCGCUGGAUAAAUGUUAAGUUUUUAAAUGUAAUAGAUUUUAAUUAUGCUUUUAAGCUAAAAAGAAAAAGGAAAAAUUUCAGCACGGGUUUUCGAUACUGAAACGUGACAUCACUUAUUCGGUUGGUUACCUACCGGGUAAGGGGUGUUACAAGUUUUGGUAUCAGAGCCUAGGUUUAGGCGGUUCUGGAAAGAAGUGAUUCAGUAAAGUGGUUUACUGGUUUAAUUGUCUGUUAGUACCAGUGACUCGAUGCAGCUGCUUAUGUCUAAAGUGGAAAGAAGUUAACAAGGUACGGGACAUAGUUUCCCGUGUGACCGAGAAAGAUGUUAUAUGGGACUGGCCACCCCAUAUAGCUCUAAUCUCGGUAGCGUCGGUAUGUGUAAAAGAUUUUAAAAAAAAAAUUCAGGGAGGAUGGGUCUGAAAAUGUUGAUGAAAAGUAUGUCCUAAUGAAAGAUACUAAUAAAUAUAUGCAGAUUAUGAAAGAGUAUAAGUAAAAGAGAAGAAAAUGAGUUAAAGGAAUGAUAUGGAAAGAAAGUAAGUUAUAGACUAAGUGACCAUCAUGAUAUAAAAGUGUAACACGAAAAUUCACAAAGGUAUGUGGAUUGUCUGAUAUAAGAUGGAUUAAGAGUCAUAAAGUAAUAUCCUAUAAUGAUAAACAAAAGUAUAGAAAUAUGUGAAAGGAAAUGUGUUUGGCAAAAUGAUAAAUAUUGAUAUGAAAACAUAUGAAACUAUAAGGCAUUAUAUGAAUAAAACCAUAAAUGUGCGAAUGAGAAAAUGCGACGAAUAAGAAAUAAAUGAUAUGAUCUGAACAUGUGUGCCCCUAUAUGGAUUACAUGUGUACUUCGAAUCGGGCAAUAUGAGAUAUGACGUGAUGUGAUGGAAAUAUGAACUGAAUAAUCGUGCAAGACAAUAAAUUAUAUGAUUGGAAAUGUGAACUCCGUGAGAAUUAUGUGUGCGCUCGAAUACGAGCUAUAUAAAUGUUAGAACCGAAUGAUGAUUCAGAAAUGAAAUGGAAAAUGGGAAUGUAUGCUCUAAGCGAGCUGUAUAGUAUAUGAUAAGAUAUGUCUAAAAAUAUGAGUUUGAAAUUGAGCUAUAUGAUAUAAAAUGGUAUUCUGGUUGAAAGUGUUGUCUGUGAUCUGUAAAUGUGUUAGUUAUGGAUAAGAAUGAGUUUUGAAAAUAAAUAUGGUUGUUGAUGAAUACUGACUUGAUAUUUGAAUUAUGUUGUGAUUUGGUGGUUUGAUUUGAUAAUCUGUGAUUAACAUUGUAUCUUGUUGGUUUUGGGGAAGCACUGGUUAUAGAGAAAACGCUGCCCAAUUUUUGCUAGAAAUUGAUCAGAUAAAUUAAUACGAAGUUGUGGUAAAUAAACUGAUAAGUGAUAAUACAUGAAGAGAAUGAUGUUACAUGAUGACUUAAGAAAUGAAAAAGGGAAAAGAUAAGAAGUGUUGUGAAUGAUAAUAAAGGAAAACGUAAUGAAAUGAUGAUAUGUGGAAAGUGAAAUGCACCCUUCGUCGGCUAUAAGUGCCCGAAUAGGGACUAUGCAAUUGGGACUAUACAAUAUAUGAUGAGUAUGUGAAUUAUACAUAUGCGUGAUGAAUAUGAUAUGUGCGCCUCAUGUGGACAAAGAAAAGAUGCAAAUAACAUGGAAAUUACUAUGUAAAGAAAUGAUAAUGUGACAAAUGUGCUUGAAAUAUAUUAGAGAUAAUGAUAAUAUUAUUAUGUGAUCGCAAAAUGUGGCUAUGUGUUAAGAUGUGAUUAUGUGAUUUUGUAUGUCAUUCUGUGUUUGGUUAUGGAAGUGUGGAUACGCUAUGUAGAUGAGGAUAUAGGAUGUCGUGGAAUGGCAUACGUAUAUGCGACGCUUAUAGGAAUGAUGUAAACCCGAGGGAAUUUCGAGGACGAAAUUCCUUUUAGGGGGGAUGAGUUGUAACAUCCCGAAUUAUAGGCACCAAUAAAAGGUUUGGAUAUAUGGUGAGGAAUAGUAGUUAAGUUAAACCGUAAGGUAUAAAUUUGAUACGAAAUGCCGAUUAGUCAAUUUUCGGCAAUUUCUUUUGUCCGUGUAAAAUCAUAAAUCGAAGCUAAGGGGUAAUAAUUUUAUAAAUUACAAAUUAUGGCCUAGAAUAAUUGUUGAUAAUGUGAGGAAUUGUUUUGGGCCAUUUGAAGGUAAUUAAAAAAAUUUCUAUCGCCGAUAAUUUCAGUUUUUAACGAAAACGAUCGGCGAAACUUUUGAAGAUAUAGACAGGAAUAAUUUUGCCUUAAACUAGAAUUUAAAUGCUAAAUGAUGAUAUAAAGAGUUCCUAAAUGUGAUAUCAUAUGAUAGGGCAAUAAAAUGUUACAAGAUAAUUAAUUUAUUUAAAAACUAACUAAAUAAUUAAAUAAUGAUUAGAAUUCUCUAGAGAAUUCUUUUGUCUAUCAUCAACUCCAAACCCCCCCUCAUUUCAGCCACAAGCACGUCCUCCCCCUCUCCAUGGAAGACCAAAAGCUUAAGCUUUUUAAUUUCCGAAUAUUUGUCAUUUAAUCGGUAAAUCGAUCGGGUAAUCUUGUAUCCGCCAGCAAAUCGAGCGAAGGAGCAUAUAGUGCGUUUUGAUCACAAAGGAGUGGAUUUAGAGGGUAGAGAAGUAUCAAGGUGAAAUAGGCUUAUGUUCAUAAGCCUGCGAGGUUAGAGUCGACAUUAUGUCAGUGGUGUUGCGCAGCUUUGCAUCUUUGGCGAGUCACUGGUGGUCAACUUGGUUUAGUAGUCGUGGCAUGUUAUGUAAUAGUUUAAUCUUUAACCUUCCGCUGGAUAAAUGUUAAGUUUUUAAAUGUAAUAGAUUUUAAUUAUGCUUUUAAGCUAAAAAGAAAAAGGAAAAAUUUCAGCA